Molecule: ribosomal RNA, 483 nt
Filed under: uncultured bacterium
Lineage: Bacteria
Description: partial 16S ribosomal RNA
Rfam family: Bacterial small subunit ribosomal RNA
Source: RNAcentral
GACGAACGCUGGCGGCGUGCUUAACACAUGCAAGUCGAACGAUGAACCCGGAGCUUGCUCCGGUGGAUUAGUGGCGAACGAGUGAGUAACACGUGAGUAACCUGCCCUUGACUCUGGGAUAACUGCGGGAAACUGUAGCUAAUACCGGAUACGACCCUCGGCGGCAUCGCCAGGGGGUGGAAAGAACUUCGGUCAAGGAUGGACUCGCGGCCAUCAGCUAGUUGGUGAGGUAACGGCUCGCCAAGGCGACGACGGGUAGCCGGCCUGAGAGGGUGACCGGCCACACUGGGACUGAGACACGGCCCAGACUCCUACGGGAGGCAGCAGUGGGGAAUAUUGCACAAUGGGCGCAAGCCUGAUGCAGCAACGCCGCGUGAGGGAUGACGGCCUUCGGGUUGUAAACCUCUUUUAGUAGGGAAGAAGCGAAAGUGACGGUACCUGCAGAAAAAGCACCGGCUAACUACGUGCCAGCCGCCGCAGUAA